UGGCUUGGAAGCAGCCAUUCAUUUAAAGAGUGCGUAACAGCUCACUAGUCGAGCGGUCCUGCAUGGAUAAUACGCGGGCAUAAGCAUAUAACCGAAGCUAUGGGAUUGUAGAUGAUACAAUCGGUAGGAGAGCAUUCCAUUCAGCGUAGAAGCAGUAUCGUGAGGUAUUGUGGAGCGGAUGGAAAAGCAAAUGUAGGCAUAAGUAACGAUAAUGCGGGUGAGAACCCCGCACGCCGAAAGAUCAAGGAUUCCCCGGCAAUGUCAAUCAUCCGGGGGUAAGUCGGAUCCUAAGGGUAAGCCGAGUGGCGAUCCCGAUGGCAAACAGGUUAAUAUUCCUGUACUGAUCAUAACUGCGAUGCAGCGACGCAGAGGUGACACUGCUGCGUACUGACGGAAUAGUACGUUGAAACCCGUAUUCUUUGAUACCGGUAGUGAAGCACGCCGGUAGAGAUGAAAGGUGAUAGUACCGCAAUGCUUCGGUUGCGCGGAUAAUGCAGGUAAGCUGACUGCCAAGAAAACCUGCUAAGCUUCAGGUAAUGAUCAUCCGUACUGUAAACGGACACACGUGAUCAGGUAGAAAAUACUAAGGCGCUCGAGAGAUUCAUGGUUAAGGAACUAGGCAAAAUGGUCCUGUAACUUCGGGAUAAAGGACGCUCUUGUGAAAGAGCCGCAGAUAAUAGGCCCAGGCGACUGUUUACCAAAAACACAUGGCUAUGCUAAUUCGCAAGAAGAUGUAUAUGGCCUGACACCUGCCCGGUGCCGGAAGGUUAAGAGGAGAGCUCAGUACUGUCUCAACCAUGAGCUCGGUGAAAUUGUAGUUCCGGUGAAGAUGCCGGAUACCCGCAACGGGACGGAAAGACCCCGUGAACCUUUACUGCAGCUUUGCAUUGAUUUUGGGUAACAGAUGUGUAGGAUAGGUCGGAGGCUUUGAUGCUGCGUCGUCAGGCGUAGAGUAGCCGUCGUUGAAAUACGACCCUUUUGUUAUCUGAGGUCUAAUCCCGUUAGGGAGACAUUGCAUGGUGGGUAGUUUGACUGGGGUGGUCGCCUCCAAAAGUGUAACGGAGGCUUCUCAAGGUACCCUCAAGGCGUUUGGUAAUCGUCUGCAGAGUGCAAUGGCAUAAGGGUGCUUGACUGUGAGACCGACACGUCGAUCAGGUUGGAAACAAGAGCAUAGUGAUCCGGUGGUUCCGCAUGGAAGGGCCAUCGCUCAAAGGAUAAAAGGUACUCCGGGGAUAACAGGCUGAUCGCUCCCAAGAGCUCAUAUCGACGGAGCGGUUUGGCACCUCGAUGUCGGCUCGUCACAUCCUGGGGCUGGAGAAGGUCCCAAGGGUUCGGCUGUUCGCCGAUUAAAGUGGCACGCGAGCUGGGUUCAGAACGUCGUGAGACAGUUCGGUCCCUAUCUGUUGUGGGCGCAGGAUAUUUGAGGAGCUCUGACUCUAGUACGAGAGGACCGGGUUGGACAUACCUCUGGUGAAUCAGUUGUGUCGCCAGAUGCACUGCUGAGUAGCUAUGUAUGGAUUGGAUAAGCGCUGAAAGCAUCUAAGCGCGAAGCCAGCUUCAAGAUGAGAUAUCCUUACAGGGUCGUUCGAGAUGAGAACGUUGAUAGGUUGCAGGUGUAUAGUCGGUGACGGCACAGCCGAGCAAUACUAAUUACCCGAAUGUUUACUUU
Molecule: ribosomal RNA, 1669 nt
Filed under: metagenome
Description: bacterial LSU rRNA
Rfam family: Bacterial large subunit ribosomal RNA
Source: RNAcentral